Molecule: ribosomal RNA, 500 nt
Filed under: unidentified
Description: Terrazoanthus onoi partial large subunit ribosomal RNA
Source: RNAcentral
GCGGUAACACUGACCGUGAUAAUGUAGCGUAAUCAAUAGCCAAUUAAUUGUUGGCCAGUAUGAAUGGCGCCACGAAGGCCCCACUGUCUUAAGGAAAUUCCCAGUGAAAUUGAAUUCGUAGUGAAGAUGCUACGUCCAAUUUGUUAGACGAAAAGACCCCGUUGAGCUUUACUGGGGCACUUACACGGCCCCGGCCUUCCAAACUAGGCUUACGAUGCCUAGGGAUUGGCCGAAUUUAAAUGGGCGGUUUAGACUAUGUGGCAGCCCCCCGUCGGGGCAGAUGAAACCCCACUCCCCCAUGUCAAAGGGGCUAACCCCCCCCUUGGGGGGGACAGUGUAAGUAGGACAGUUUGGUUGGGGCGACCGCCUUUUAAAGAGUAACGAAGGUGCGCUUAAGGUGCGCAAAUAAUGACUGAAGCCUGACUGCGAGGGGGACACCCCGAGCAGACACCCCCAAGCCCSCCCGAAGGGCGGCGGCGGGGUGGGCCAUAGUGACCCGU